GAUGAAGAACGUAGCGAAAUGCGAUAAGUAAUGUGAAUUGCAGAAUUCAGUGAAUCAUCGAAUCUUUGAACGCACCUUGCGCUCCUUGGUAUUCCGAGGAGCAUGCCUGUUUGAGUGUCAUUAAAUUCUCAACCUUUCCAGCUUUUGCGAGUUUGGAUUGGCUUGGAUGUGGAGGUUUGCAGGCUUCUCAGAAGUCAGCUCCUCUUAAAUGCAUUAGCGGAACCUUUGUGGACCAGCUUUGGUGUGAUAAUUAUCUAUGCCAUGGUUGUGAAGCAGUUUUUAUAUGGGGUUCAGCUUCUAACAGUCCAUUGACUUGGACAAUUUCUGACAUUUUGACCUCAAAUCAGGUAGGACUACCCGCUGAACUUAAGCAUAUCAAUAAGCGGAGGA
This 390-nucleotide unclassified non-coding RNA is filed under the name soil metagenome. RNAcentral describes it as "partial contains 5.8S ribosomal RNA, internal transcribed spacer 2, and large subunit ribosomal RNA". The stretch from base 1 to 120 matches the Rfam family "5.8S ribosomal RNA", at positions 35 to 154 of the family's 154-position model. The record is from RNAcentral.